Molecule: long non-coding RNA, 897 nt
Filed under: Homo sapiens (human)
Lineage: Eukaryota; Metazoa; Chordata; Mammalia; Primates; Hominidae
Description: HSALNT0320988
Source: RNAcentral
GUUACAGAUGAAGAUACCAGGACCUGACUUCCCUCUCCCAAUAUAAUAAGGCUUAUUACACUUUUCUUAACAACUGACCUAGGUAGGAGGACAUAGGAGAAUUCUAGAAAGCGGGGAAAAUCCUAAAAAGCUGAUACCCUGAACUGGCAGCUGAAAUUUUAACCUGAAAUACGUGAAAUAACUUCAAUUGUCAAGAUCAAUAAUUUCUCAUCAUCAAAGAGAGAAAGGGAACUUUCUAAAAUAAAGGCAUUUACUGUUUCUGUUACAACUGGAAAGAUUUUCUUCAAAAUGCACACACACAAAAAGAGUUUUCUAACAUAAUUGGGCAAUAGACAGAAGACAGAAGAUAAGGAAAAGUUGAAAUUUAAAAAAAAAAUCAGUUAACAACUUGGUAUAACAGAAACUUGCUGAGAUGCAACUGACAUUUAUGAACAAGAUAAAAAAGUGAAAGAAAAACUAGGAAAGAAAGGAAGGAGCCGGGAAGAAGACGGAUCAAGAAAGGAAGAGUGUAACCAGGAAGGGAAGUGGGAGGGGAGGAGGGAAACACAGAGGGGAGUGAUAACAUGUAUGGCUCCUGGCUGGGUGGGUGGGCUGUCUGAAAGAUCAUAGUACGUCAGCCUGUUUGUUGAACUGCCCUAAAUGUAAGAAAUGAGUGGCCUUACAGGACGCCAAUGUACAAUUGGCCAUCUGUGUGUUCUACAUGCCUUAUGGUAUUUCUAAACCAGUAUUUGAUCUCAGGUAUGCUCUAAUACCAUCAAUUAAUACCACUGGCAAUACACAGCUAAUAAACAGAAACUUAUGUGUCACAAAAAAUAUUUUAUUAAAAUAUAACCAAAAUUUUAAAAUUGAUUCUCUACCUCUACAAUUUAUAGUACUAGUUUGGACUAUUAACAAUGA